AGUCGAACGAAGAGCGAUGGAAGCUUGCUUCUAUCAAUCUUAGUGGCGAACGGGUGAGUAACGCGUAAUCAACCUGCCCUUCAGAGGAGGACAACAGUUGGAAACGACUGCUAAUACCGCAUACGAUCUAAUCUCGGCAUCGAGGAUAGAUGAAAGGUGGCCUCUACAUGUAAGCUAUCACUGAAGGAGGGGAUUGCGUCUGAUUAGCUAGUUGGAGGGGUAACGGCCCACCAAGGCGAUGAUCAGUAGCCGGUCUGAGAGGAUGAACGGCCACAUUGGGACUGAGACACGGCCCAGACUCCUACGGGAGGCAGCAGUGGGGAAUCUUCCGCAAUGGACGAAAGUCUGACGGAGCAACGCCGCGUGAGUGAUGACGGCCUUCGGGUUGUAAAGCUCUGUUAAUCGGGACGAAAGGCCUUC
This 420-nucleotide ribosomal RNA is filed under the name Veillonella parvula. RNAcentral's name for it is "bacterial SSU rRNA". It matches the Rfam family "Bacterial small subunit ribosomal RNA", at positions 60 to 457 of the family's 1533-position model. The record is from RNAcentral. Lineage: Bacteria; Bacillati; Bacillota; Negativicutes; Veillonellales; Veillonellaceae.